RNAcentral lists this unclassified non-coding RNA (341 nucleotides) under soil metagenome. Its description in RNAcentral is "partial contains 5.8S ribosomal RNA, internal transcribed spacer 2, and large subunit ribosomal RNA". The stretch from base 5 to 119 matches the Rfam family "5.8S ribosomal RNA", at positions 40 to 154 of the family's 154-position model. The record is from RNAcentral.
GAUGAGAACGUAGCGAAAUGCGAUAAGUAAUGUGAAUUGCAGAAUUCAGUGAAUCAUCGAAUCUUUGAACGCACAUUGCGCCCGCCAGCACUCUGGCGGGCAUGCCUGUUCGAGCGUCAUUUCAACCAUCAAGCCCCCAGGGGCUUGUGCUGGGGCCCUGCGGCUGCCCGCAGGCCCUGAAAACCAGUGGCGGGCUCGCUAGUCACACCGAGCGCAGUAGCACAUCUCGCUCAGGGCGUGCGGCGGGCUCCUGCCGUGAAACCCCCCACUGUAACCCCAAAGGUUGACCUCGGAUCAGGUAGGAAUACCCGCUGAACUUAAGCAUAUCAAUAAGCGGAGGA